UCGCCAGACUCCUACGGGAGGCAGCAGUGGGGAAUAUUGCACAAUGGGGGAAACCCUGAUGCAGCGACGCCGCGUGAAGGAUGAAGUAUUUCGGUAUGUAAACUUCUAUCAGCAGGGAAGAAAAUGACGGUACCUGACUAAGAAGCCCCGGCUAACUACGUGCCAGCAGCCGCGGUAAUACGUAGGGGGCAAGCGUUAUCCGGAUUUACUGGGUGUAAAGGGAGCGUAGACGGCGGCGCAAGUCCGGAGUGAAAGCCCACGGCCCAACCGUGGGACUGCUCUGGAAACUGUGCGGCUUGAGUGCGGGAGGGGCAGGCGGAAUUCCUGGUGUAGCGGUGAAAUGCGUAGAUAUCAGGAGGAACACCGGUGGCGAAGGCGGCCUGCUGGACUGCAACUGACGUUGAGGCCCGAAAGCGUGGGGAGCAAACAGGAUUAGAUACCCGUGUAAA
RNAcentral lists this ribosomal RNA (449 nucleotides) under uncultured bacterium. RNAcentral describes it as "partial 16S ribosomal RNA". It matches the Rfam family "Bacterial small subunit ribosomal RNA", at positions 328 to 793 of the family's 1533-position model. The record is from RNAcentral.